UACGGGGGGGGCAAGCGUUGUUCGGAAUUACUGGGCGUAAAGGGCUCGUAGGCGGCCAACUAAGUCAGACGUGAAAUCCCUCGGCUUAACCGGGGAACUGCGUCUGAUACUGGAUGGCUUGAAUCCGGGAGAGGGAUGCGGAAUUCCAGGUGUAGCGGUGAAAUGCGUAGAUAUCUGGAGGAACACCGGUGGCGAAGGCGGCAUCCUGGACCGGCAUUGACGCUGAGGAGCGAAAGCUAGGGGAGCGAACGGG
This 253-nucleotide ribosomal RNA is filed under the name uncultured bacterium. RNAcentral describes it as "partial 16S ribosomal RNA". It matches the Rfam family "Bacterial small subunit ribosomal RNA", at positions 524 to 776 of the family's 1533-position model. The record is from RNAcentral.